RNAcentral lists this ribosomal RNA (492 nucleotides) under uncultured bacterium. RNAcentral's name for it is "partial 16S ribosomal RNA". It matches the Rfam family "Bacterial small subunit ribosomal RNA", at positions 29 to 507 of the family's 1533-position model. The record is from RNAcentral.
AGUGAACGCUGGCGGUAGGCCUAACACAUGCAAGUCGAACGGCAGCACAGUAAGAGCUUGCUCUUACGGGUGGCGAGUGGCGGUCGGGUGAGGAAUACAUCGGAAUCUACCUUUUCGUGGGGGAUAACGUAGGGAAACUUACGCUAAUACCGCAUACGACCUACGGGUGAAAGCAGGGGAUCUUCGGACCUUGCGCGAUUGAAUGAGCCGAUGUCGGAUUAGCUAGUUGGCGGGGUAAAGGCCCACCAAGGCGGCGAUCCGUAGCUGGUCUGAGAGGAUGAUCAGCCACACUGGAACUGAGACACGGUCCAGACUCCUACGGGAGGCAGCAGUGGGGAAUAUUGGACAAUGGGCGCAAGCCUGAUCCAGCCAUACCGCGUGGGUGAAGAAGGCCUUCGGGUUGUAAAGCCCUUUUGUUGGGAAAGAAAAGCAGCAGGUUAAUACCCCGCUGUUCUGACGGUACCCAAAGAAUAAGCACCGGCUAACUUCGUG